AGCACCGAGUUGCUGGAGGCCUCAAGAGUCAUUGGAGGUGAGUAUUAGUUGUGAUUUGGCAGGAAAUUUGCUUCGGACGCUGGAUGCGCGCCACUUGCCAUAUGUAUGUCCGGAAAGCGUUGCAGGUAAUUUAUUGGUGGUAAGAAUAUGACGCGCCGCUGUCAUUUGUUGGUUUUCUCUUCCACCCUCAGUGGUAGAUGUUUGCGAUUAUUUAUUUAGCUUGUUAAAUUGCAGGUCAGCUUCGGCGGUCGUCGGGAAGAGGAUGCCUGAAGAAAGGUCCGGAACAGCGGUCGUCACGUAGUUUUGGAGCUGCUGCCAUUAUUGUGGUGUGAUCUGUCUCAUUAUGGCAGAGGAGUCGACAGUGAUGAUUGUGGCUUGGUCGUUCAUCUAGGGUGGCUAGGUGCGCCGCGUUUUGUGGCCAUUUCGUCAGGGUUUGCAGCUUGGAGCCUCCGGAACGUGAUUAGUUGCCGAGGGCCGUCGCAACGAUUGGGGCCAUGGAAAUGGAAGUAAAAUUAGAGAUUGGGUACGUUUAGUGGGAGGUACAUUAGGUGGAAGCUAGUCUGGUGGUAAGUGUUAUAAUUGUUUUUAAGGUUGCAUUAAUAUUUUGUUUUUCAGCUGCGUUUUGUAACUAAUUGGGAGGCCCUUUGUUUUUGGAACAUGGCAGCGGAAAAGCCGCGGGUUUAGGGUCGUCGAGUUGGCAAUUAGAUAAGUGUUUUGUUAAAGUAAUUAAUUCCCAGUUUUAGCUUGUGCUUCCUCGUUUCAGAAUUUACAAUCUUGGAAAGAGCAGUUGCAUGCUUAUCGUCAGCAAGAUGGAGCCGCCUGUUGUCGCCUAUUGUCGCCUGGUUAUUUGCCUGUCCGGUUUGCUUUGUCCUUAAUUAAUUAUAUUUUGUAUCAUAUUCUUAUUAAAAUUUUUCCUUUCGUUGUAGGUUAGCGGAAAAUCCGUGGGAGAUGCGAUACUGAGGAAAGGAAUUUUGUGUUUUUCUUUUCAGGUACAUUUGGUGGGAGGUACAUUUGGUGGAAGCUAAUCUGGUGGUGAGUAUUUUAAU
Molecule: long non-coding RNA, 1046 nt
Organism: Drosophila sechellia
Lineage: Eukaryota; Metazoa; Arthropoda; Insecta; Diptera; Drosophilidae
Exons: 4
Source: RefSeq, a predicted model, not a curated record